RNAcentral lists this ribosomal RNA (1562 nucleotides) under Staphylococcus aureus. RNAcentral describes it as "partial 23S ribosomal RNA". It matches the Rfam family "Bacterial large subunit ribosomal RNA", at positions 1 to 1561 of the family's 2925-position model. The record is from RNAcentral. Lineage: Bacteria; Bacillati; Bacillota; Bacilli; Caryophanales; Staphylococcaceae.
GAUUAAGUUAUUAAGGGCGCACGGUGGAUGCCUUGGCACUAGAAGCCGAUGAAGGACGUUACUAACGACGAUAUGCUUUGGGGAGCUGUAAGUAAGCUUUGAUCCAGAGAUUUCCGAAUGGGGAAACCCAGCAUGAGUUAUGUCAUGUUAUCGAUAUGUGAAUACAUAGCAUAUCAGAAGGCACACCCGGAGAACUGAAACAUCUUAGUACCCGGAGGAAGAGAAAGAAAAUUCGAUUCCCUUAGUAGCGGCGAGCGAAACGGGAAGAGCCCAAACCAAAAAGCUUGCUUGUUGGGGUUGUAGGACACUCUAUACGGAGUUACAAAGGACGACAUUAGACGAAUCAUCUGGAAAGAUGAAUCAAAGAAGGUAAUAAUCCUGUAGUCGAAAAUGUUGUCUCUCUUGAGUGGAUCCUGAGUACGACGGAGCACGUGAAAUUCCGUCGGAAUCUGGGAGGACCAUCUCCUAAGGCUAAAUACUCUCUAGUGACCGAUAGUGAACCAGUACCGUGAGGGAAAGGUGAAAAGCACCCCGGAAGGAGAGUGAAAUAGAACCUGAAACCGUGUGCUUACAAGUAGUCAGAGCCCGUUAAUGGGUGAUGGCGUGCCUUUUGUAGAAUGAACCGGCGAGUUACGAUUUGAUGCAAGGUUAAGCAGUAAAUGUGGAGCCGUAGCGAAAGCGAGUCUGAAUAGGGCGUUUAGUAUUUGGUCGUAGACCCGAAACCAGGUGAUCUACCCUUGGUCAGGUUGAAGUUCAGGUAACACUGAAUGGAGGACCGAACCGACUUACGUUGAAAAGUGAGCGGAUGAACUGAGGGUAGCGGAGAAAUUCCAAUCGAACCUGGAGAUAGCUGGUUCUCUCCGAAAUAGCUUUAGGGCUAGCCUCAAGUGAUGAUUAUUGGAGGUAGAGCACUGUUUGGACGAGGGGCCCCUCUCGGGUUACCGAAUUCAGACAAACUCCGAAUGCCAAUUAAUUUAACUUGGGAGUCAGAACAUGGGUGAUAAGGUCCGUGUUCGAAAGGGAAACAGCCCAGACCACCAGCUAAGGUCCCAAAAUAUAUGUUAAGUGGAAAAGGAUGUGGCGUUGCCCAGACAACUAGGAUGUUGGCUUAGAAGCAGCCAUCAUUUAAAGAGUGCGUAAUAGCUCACUAGUCGAGUGACACUGCGCCGAAAAUGUACCGGGGCUAAACAUAUUACCGAAGCUGUGGAUUGUCCUUUGGACAAUGGUAGGAGAGCGUUCUAAGGGCGUUGAAGCAUGAUCGUAAGGACAUGUGGAGCGCUUAGAAGUGAGAAUGCCGGUGUGAGUAGCGAAAGACGGGUGAGAAUCCCGUCCACCGAUUGACUAAGGUUUCCAGAGGAAGGCUCGUCCGCUCUGGGUUAGUCGGGUCCUAAGCUGAGGCCGACAGGCGUAGGCGAUGGAUAACAGGUUGAUAUUCCUGUACCACCUAUAAUCGUUUUAAUCGAUGGGGGGACGCAGUAGGAUAGGCGAAGCGUGCGAUUGGAUUGCACGUCUAAGCAGUAAGGCUGAGUAUUAGGCAAAUCCGGUACUCGUUAAGGCUGAGC